GCACUCGCUUCGGCAGUAUAUGUACUAAACUUGGAAAGACCCAGAGAAGAUUAGUACGGCCCCUGCGCAAGGAUGAAACGCAAAAUAGUGAAGCAUUACACGUUUUU
This is a small nuclear RNA of Schistocerca americana (American grasshopper), 107 nucleotides long. NCBI's taxonomy places the organism in Eukaryota, Metazoa, Arthropoda, Insecta, Orthoptera, Acrididae. The record is from RefSeq and is a predicted model, not a curated record.